CAUGUUGUCCAGGAAGUUGAUGCUUGUGUUGGAGUGUCAUGGCCGGGUCAUGGUCAGCCAGACCAGCUAGUCAGAGCCACAGUCUGCAGUCACAAGAGAGGAGUUGAAUCAGGCCAGGUCAGGAUAUCAGGAGGUCAAAGGCAGGAGACAGACUGGAGAGCAGAACCAUGAGUCAGAUGUCAGGAGUCAACUGAAGUCAGAAUGCCAGGAAAUCAAGGCAGAGGAGCGGGAGUGGGAGGCACAGAGUUCAGAGUAGUGUGGAGCCCAGUUGUUUGGCUAGCUAGCUGCUGCUAGCUUAAGUCAGGUUGGCCAAUCAGCUGCUCUGGGAAUCUGCCAGUUGGACCUCAGGAGCAAAGCCUCACACUGGGCCUGGGCUUAGUGGAUCAUAGGAGCUAGGCAGAGCAGUGGGGGUUUCAAUUAAAAUCCACAGGAAAGGAAAGGAAUAUGUCAAUAAAACCACAGACUUAUGGCCAAAGGUCAUAGUGCUGGAGUAUUCAUCUUUAGACUCAUCCUCAGCCUACCACCUGCCAGUCAACUUAAAAUUGAAGAAACUGUAAAGAAGAUACAGAGACUGAUUGUCAAGUUCAAUCUUGUUCCAAGGUUCCACCCCAUACCUUCACCAUCCCUACCAUAAGUCUGGGUCAGACAAAUCAGGUCUCAGGUUUAUGAGAGUGAGAUUGUCCUCAGAGUGUGAAAGAGGAAGCUGUUCUCAAGUACCAUAUCUUCCCCCACAUAACCUCCUUAAUGGAUCCUGUAAUGUUUGAAUGGGGUGGGAAAUCUCAUCCUCGAUAGACUGCCAGGGUAGUGCAUGUAUCCUUGCUCCUUUGGCCAUGGAGCAUCAUGGGGGAUACAGUUUCACCAGAGCAUUUGGCCUCCAGAGGAGAAGGGGAGAACAAGACACCCAGACUACAACUCCCAGGAAGCUCCUCAGUGCCAUUGUAAAUCAAAAUAUUUGGGGCUUUGGCUAAUAUAUACUGGUUUUCAGUUUUUUGAUGACAUAAAGAAAUUUUCUGCAGAAAGCAGAAAAAUUCCACAAUAAUUACUUUGUCAAAAGCCCAAUUCUCCAUCAUAAAGCAGUUUGAGCUUGUGAUAAGAGACUGUUUUAAAUCUUUGUGGUAAUAUUUGAUGAAACAUCAGUUUUCUCAAGAAUUAUUGAUGUUGUGUGAACAUAAGUCAAAGAAUGCUGACAUGCCAAAUGCCCUGCCAGACCCCAUAUGUGAGAUUCUCAUUAAUUUCAACAAGGGUUCCUUGGUCUUAUUGGGCCUAAGUUACAUUCCAACACUUUUACUUGUGUAUACAAUAGAACACAUUUUAUCACAUGUAUGAUGUGCAUUACCUAGACGUGCUAACUGAGACAUAUACCAUAAUUUACAUCUGACCUUUGUAAGGCACAUUAGCACAUAUACAGUCUGAGAGCUAUAAAAAAGAUUAUCACAGACAUGUUAUAUAUGUUACACUGAAACCCUUUAAAGUGUGAGGGAAACGGGAUUCAAUAAUCUCAAGCCAAAAGACUGGAGC
Mauremys mutica (yellowpond turtle) is the source of this 1518-nucleotide long non-coding RNA. RefSeq lists it as uncharacterized. Lineage: Eukaryota; Metazoa; Chordata; Testudines; Geoemydidae. The transcript has 5 exons. The record is from RefSeq and is a predicted model, not a curated record.